This 233-nucleotide ribosomal RNA is filed under the name uncultured bacterium. RNAcentral describes it as "partial 16S ribosomal RNA". It matches the Rfam family "Bacterial small subunit ribosomal RNA", at positions 524 to 754 of the family's 1533-position model. The record is from RNAcentral.
UACGUAGGGUGCAAGCGUUAAUCGGAAUUACUGGGCGUAAAGCGUGCGCAGGCGGUUUUGUAAGUCUGUCGUGAAAUCCCCGGGCUCAACCUGGGAAUUGCGAUUGGAGACUGCAAGGCUAGAAUCUGGCAGAGGGGGGUAGAAUUCCACGUGUAGCAGUGAAAUGCGUAGAGAUGUGGAGGAACACCGAUGGCGAAGGCAGCCCCCUGGGUCAAGAUUGACGCUACAUGCAC